This is a long non-coding RNA of Syzygium oleosum, 422 nucleotides long. RefSeq lists it as uncharacterized. The record is from RefSeq and is a predicted model, not a curated record. Lineage: Eukaryota; Viridiplantae; Streptophyta; Magnoliopsida; Myrtales; Myrtaceae. The transcript is spliced from 2 exons.
UGAUCAUUCUGAUCGUUGACCGGUUUCGAAACUCUCGCACCAGUCUUCAAAGAAGUAGACUAGACAGUGUCCGGAACAAGCUAAUCCAAUUCGAGCUGCUGAUGACAACCGCGACUUUUGUAGUCGCCAUCUUUGGCUUGGUGGCUGGCAAUUCUUCGGCAUGAACUUUCCGGUACCAUUAUUCCACAAUGCAGGUGCCUUUAAGUGGGUCCUCAUAAUUACAGGAGCGAUUGGAAUCACCAUAUUCCCAGCAUUCUAUUGUUUCUUCAAGUAUAGAAGACUUAUGCUGCAAUAGAUAGAUACGCAAGGAUUAAAUUUUCCUUUAAAGGAAGUGUAUGAUCGGCAUCAUUGUUGCAGUUAGUCAAUGUGUAUUGCAUUGAAACUAUAAUUGGAAGUGAGAAUGUGCUUAUUUCUUGUGGCGA